AGUGAACGCUGGCGGUAGGCCUAACACAUGCAAGUCGAACGGCAGCACAGUAAGAGCUUGCUCUUACGGGUGGCGAGUGGCGGACGGGUGAGGAAUACAUCGGAAUCUACUUUUUCGUGGGGGAUAACGUAGGGAAACUUACGCUAAUACCGCAUACGACCUACGGGUGAAAGCAGGGGAUCUUCGGACCUUGCGCGAUUGAAUGAGCCGAUGUCGGAUUAGCUAGUUGGUGGGGUAAAGGCCCACCAAGGCGACGAUCCGUAGCUGGUCUGAGAGGAUGAUCAGCCACACUGGAACUGAGACACGGUCCAGACUCCUACGGGAGGCAGCAGUAGGGAAUAUCGGACAAUGGGCGCAAGCCUGAUCCAGCCAUACCGCGUGGGUGAAGAAGGCCUUCGGGUUGUAAAGCCCUUUUGUUGGGAAAGAAAAGCAGCAGGUUAAUACCCCGCUGUUCUGACGGUACCCAAAGAAUAAGCACCGGCUAACUUCGUG
RNAcentral lists this ribosomal RNA (492 nucleotides) under uncultured bacterium. RNAcentral's name for it is "partial 16S ribosomal RNA". It matches the Rfam family "Bacterial small subunit ribosomal RNA", at positions 29 to 507 of the family's 1533-position model. The record is from RNAcentral.